AGAGUUUGAUCCUGGCUCAGGACGAACGCUGGCGGCAUGCCUAACACAUGCAAGUCGAACGGAACUUGUUGAAUGAAGUUUUCGGAUGGAUUUUGAUAAGUUUAGUGGCGGACGGGUGGGUAACGCGUGAGCAACCUGCCUUUCAGAGGGGGACAACAGUUGGAAACGACUGCUAAUACCGCAUAACGUAUCGGAACCGCAUGGCUCUGAUACCAAAGAUUUAUCGCUGAAAGAUGGGCUCGCGUACGAUUAGAUAGUUGGUGAGGUAACGGCUCACCAAGUCGACGAUCGUUAGCCGGACUGAGAGGUUGAACGGCCACAUUGGGACUGAGACACGGCCCAGACUCCUACGGGAGGCAGCAGUGAGGAAUAUUGGGCAAUGGGCGCAAGCCUGACCCAGCAAUGCCUCGUGAAGGAAGACGGUUUUCGGAUUGUAAACUUCUUUUAAGAGGGACGAUAAUGACGGUACCUCUUGAAUAAGCCACGGCUAACUACGUGCCAGCAGCCGCGGU
This 512-nucleotide ribosomal RNA is filed under the name uncultured bacterium. RNAcentral describes it as "bacterial SSU rRNA". It matches the Rfam family "Bacterial small subunit ribosomal RNA", at positions 8 to 521 of the family's 1533-position model. The record is from RNAcentral.